Molecule: ribosomal RNA, 160 nt
Filed under: Acaulospora colossica
Lineage: Eukaryota; Fungi; Glomeromycota; Glomeromycetes; Diversisporales; Acaulosporaceae
Description: 5.8S ribosomal RNA
Rfam family: 5.8S ribosomal RNA
About the family: 5.8S ribosomal RNA (5.8S rRNA) is a component of the large subunit of the eukaryotic ribosome.
Source: RNAcentral
AUUAAGACAACUUUCAACAACGGAUCUCUUGGCUCUUGCAUCGAUGAAGAACGCAGUGAAAUGCGAUACGUAAUGUGAAUUGCAGAAUUCCGUGAAUCAUCAAAUCUUUGAACGCAAAUUGCACUCCUUGGUAUUCCGAGGAGUAUGCUUGCUUGAGGGU